Molecule: transfer RNA, 72 nt
Filed under: Camelus bactrianus (Bactrian camel)
Lineage: Eukaryota; Metazoa; Chordata; Mammalia; Artiodactyla; Camelidae
Also listed under: 2 other names
Rfam family: tRNA
About the family: Transfer RNA (tRNA) molecules are approximately 80 nucleotides in length.
Source: Rfam by way of RNAcentral
GAGGGUAUAGCUCAGUGGUAGAGUGCAUGCUUAGCAUGCCCAAGGUACUGGGUUCAAUCUCCAGUACCUCCA